UGAAAGACAUAAAGUCGAUUCAUUUGAAUAUUAAGUAACUCAAGUGUCAUCUAUGUGAAUAUGCUGCUAGUUCAAAACAAAACCUUGACCUACAUAUAAAGAAAAUUCAUUUAUAGGUGAAGAAUCACAAAUGUCACAUAUGUGAAUAUGCCACUGCUUUAAAAAGAAGCCUUUAAGUCCAUAUAGAGUGGAUUCAUUUGGAAGGAACAUAAAUGUCACUUAUGUGAAUAUGACACUGCUGUAAAAAAAGCCUUGAAAAACAUAUAGAGUCGAUUUAUUUGAAAAUUAAGAAACACAAGUGUCAUCUAUCUGAAUAUGCUGCUAGUUCAUAACAAAACCUGGACCUACAUAUAAAGAAAAUUCAUUUAUAAGUGAAGAAUCACAAAUCAUUAACAUGGAAAAAAUGAAGCUGUUAUUGGAGACUGCAACUGCAACAAUUAUGGAAAAUUUAAAUUUGGAAUUGUAAGUUGAAGAACCGACUAGGAUUACACAUCACCCAUCUACUUGUUAGGAUAAUUUUUUCACCAAUAUAGAAAAUGGUACAAUUCUAGUAUUUCAACCGCAUUUAUCUGAUCAUUCAGAACGGUUGAUGUCUCUUGAGUUUGAAAAUGCAUACUUUCACAAAACUUAUGAGAAAAUAAAAUCUUGAUAAUUUGUGCAAGUUUAUUAGUCAAUUGUCCUUCUUUAAUUGGAAUGAUUUGUAUGACUUGGUGAAGAACGGGUGGAUGAGAUGUUGGAAUUCUUUUCUUGUAAUACUACAGUAUGUUUUAUCACGGAAUCAAUCAGAAUAUUCGCAACAAUACAAAUUAAUGAAAAAACAAUAUGAUCAGAAAAUAACACAGAAAAAAUCACAUAUUCGGACAACAAAACUAGAACCACUUGGGGUUUGAUUAAAUCACUAACUGGUAAACGUAAUACAAAAAAACAAGCUCUUCCAUCUGUAAAGCCACAACUGCUUGUGAACGAUUUCAAUGACUGUAACUAAUAUAACACAUACUGAAGAUUGUGGUGGGUUAAAGUAUGUAAAUGGAUCAUUCUUUGUUUUUGUUUCUAGUAAAUCAUGAAGAGUGGUUUGAAAAGUUCAAAAAUAAUAAUGUAAAAACAAGGCAAGUUGAUCAAUGUCUUUAUCCAGUACACUCUUCAAGUGUUACCCACAAUUAUGCAAUGUAUAUGCGUAUUAAAUUAUAUAAUGCUUCACAGAAGCAAUUUGGUGCUGUAUAUAGAGAAAUUUCAUUUAUUGAACGAAUUCAUUAUAAGGUGUGAACCAUGUAAUGUGGAUGAAUUUUUUUAUUUUUGUAAGAGGGGUAAGGGUUAUAAUUUUUUAAGGGAUGUAUUUGCUUGAUAUUUAUUCUUGUACAUUUUUAUGUCCUAUGAAAUGAAUAAAAGUUAUUAAUGAUCA
Coccinella septempunctata (seven-spotted ladybird) is the source of this 1399-nucleotide long non-coding RNA. RefSeq lists it as uncharacterized. NCBI's taxonomy places the organism in Eukaryota, Metazoa, Arthropoda, Insecta, Coleoptera, Coccinellidae. The transcript is spliced from 2 exons. The record is from RefSeq and is a predicted model, not a curated record.